ACUGGAUGUGGUGGUGCACACCUGUAAUCCCAGUGGCUCAGGAGGCUGAGGCAGGAGGACUCAAGUUUGAGGCCAGUCUCAGCAACUCAGUGAGGCCCUAAACAACUCAGUAAGAUCCCGUCUCUA
Molecule: small RNA, 126 nt
Filed under: Marmota monax (woodchuck)
Lineage: Eukaryota; Metazoa; Chordata; Mammalia; Rodentia; Sciuridae
Source: RNAcentral